GCUGGGCAUGGUGGCUCACAUCUGUAAUCCCAGCACUUUGGGAGGCUGAGGCAGGAGGAUCACUUGAGCCCAGGAGUUUGAGGCUGCAGUGAGUGAUCAUCACACCACUGCAAUCCAACCUGGGCAACAGAGUGAGAACUUGUCUCUG
Macaca fascicularis (crab-eating macaque) is the source of this 148-nucleotide unclassified non-coding RNA. It matches the Rfam family "Metazoan signal recognition particle RNA". From Rfam's summary of the family: The signal recognition particle (SRP) is a universally conserved ribonucleoprotein. It is involved in the co-translational targeting of proteins to membranes. The eukaryotic SRP consists of a 300-nucleotide 7S RNA and six proteins: SRPs 72, 68, 54, 19, 14, and 9. The record is from Ensembl. NCBI's taxonomy places the organism in Eukaryota, Metazoa, Chordata, Mammalia, Primates, Cercopithecidae.